This 219-nucleotide long non-coding RNA is filed under the name Durio zibethinus. RNAcentral's name for it is "long non-coding RNA (DZIB_LNC001479)". The record is from RNAcentral. Lineage: Eukaryota; Viridiplantae; Streptophyta; Magnoliopsida; Malvales; Malvaceae.
UUGUGCUACUUAUUCGAUGGAUCAGGAACAAUCGAAAAAAGCCAGACCAGUACGGUAUCUCUUUGAAUCCUGAAUAUGGUGAGACCCCCGAUUGUACUAACCUACAUAUGUUUCAAAUGUAAACAUUUAAAGAUGAAUAAUACUUUAAACUGGUAUUUAGACCUUAAUUUUUUGAAAAAAAACUUGAUUUUGUCCUAAAUUAAAAAGAACACAUCUAUU